Molecule: non-coding RNA, 78 nt
Organism: Potamilus streckersoni
Lineage: Eukaryota; Metazoa; Mollusca; Bivalvia; Unionida; Unionidae
Source: the annotation of a GenBank genome assembly
GCUCCGGUGGCCUUGUGGUUAGAGCGUCCGCCUCGGAUGCGGGAGGUCGGGUCGUUGGUUCGAACCCCGGUUGAGUCA